GUGAAGGUUAGGCUAAGAAGUGUGAUGAGCUUUAUUUAGGUAAUAGGCAAUGAGGAGAAAUUGAAACAUGAAGGAACAUAAUUUGAGGUGUGAUUAUUUGAGUUUUUAAAAUAUUAUCACUGUGCAUCAGAAUGGGUUAGGGAAGGCUUAAAUCCUGGAUGCUGGCUCAGCACCUAUUAGAGCAAUUAAAAUGAGAAAUGAUGCAGACUAAACUAGAAUUUCAGGUAAAAAUGGGAAAAAUAGGCGUUAAAAAAUGGUAUAAACGUUAAAAAACUACACUUGACUGAGUUAGAAUAUGGAGGAAAAGGAAGUAUGGAGAUCAAAAGAAAACAUCAGGAUUUGGGAGCUUGGACACAGGGGAAUGACAACGUAAAGGGAUUAUUUCAAAGAUAAUUUGGCAUAGACACUUCUAGACUCUCCUCUUCAUCUGUGUGUGGGUACUGAAUAUGCAAGCAAACGCGG
RNAcentral lists this long non-coding RNA (462 nucleotides) under Homo sapiens (human). Its description in RNAcentral is "HSALNT0327780". Lineage: Eukaryota; Metazoa; Chordata; Mammalia; Primates; Hominidae. The record is from RNAcentral.